GGACAUAGAUACAAGCUAGCGGCGGAUGGGUGAGUAACGCGUGGGUAACCUGCCCUUAAGUCUGGGAUACCAUUUGGAAACAGAUGCUAAUACCGGAUAAAAGCUACUUUCGCAUGAAAGAAGUUUAAAAGGCGGCGUAAGCUGUCGCUAAAGGAUGGACCUGCGAUGCAUUAGCUAGUUGGUAAGGUAACGGCUUACCAAGGCGAUGAUGCAUAGCCGAGUUGAGAGACUGAUCGGCCACAUUGGGACUGAGACACGGCCCAAACUCCUACGGGAGGCAGCAGUAGGGAAUCUUCCACAAUGGACGCAAGUCUGAUGGAGCAACGCCGCGUGAGUGAAGAAGGUUUUCGGAUCGUAAAGCUCUGUUGUUGGUGAAGAAGGAUAGAGGUAGUAACUGGCCUUUAUUUGACGGUAAUCAACCAGAAAGUCACGGCUAACUACGUGCCAGCAGCCGCGGUAAUACGUAGGUGGCAAGCGUUGUCCGGAUUUAUUGGGCGUAAAGCGAGCGCAGGCGGAUUGAUAAGUCUGAUGUGAAAGCCUUCGGCUCAACCGAAGAACUGCAUCAGAAACUGUCAAUCUUGAGUGCAGAAGAGGAGAGUGGAACUCCAUGUGUAGCGGUGGAAUGCGUAGAUAUAUGGAAGAACACCAGUGGCGAAGGCGGCUCUCUGGUCUGUAACUGACGCUGAGGCUCGAAAGCAUGGGUAGCGAACAGGAUUAGAUACC
Molecule: ribosomal RNA, 723 nt
Filed under: Lactobacillus jensenii
Lineage: Bacteria; Bacillati; Bacillota; Bacilli; Lactobacillales; Lactobacillaceae
Description: bacterial SSU rRNA
Rfam family: Bacterial small subunit ribosomal RNA
Source: RNAcentral